RNAcentral lists this ribosomal RNA (902 nucleotides) under uncultured bacterium. Its description in RNAcentral is "bacterial SSU rRNA". It matches the Rfam family "Bacterial small subunit ribosomal RNA", at positions 545 to 1447 of the family's 1533-position model. The record is from RNAcentral.
CNGGAUUUAUUGGGCGUAAAGCGAGCGCAGGCGGUUAGAUAANUCUGAAGUUAAAGGCUGUGGCUUAACCAUAGUACGCUUUGGAAACUGUUUAACUUGAGUGCAGAAGGGGAGAGUGGAAUUCCAUGUGUAGCGGUGAAAUGCGUAGAUAUAUGGAGGAACACCGGUGGCGAAAGCGGCUCUCUGGUCUGUAACUGACGCUGAGGCUCGAAAGCGUGGGGAGCGAACAGGAUUAGAUACCCUGGUAGUNCACGCCGUAAACGAUGAGUGCUAGGUGUUAGGCCCUUUCCGGGGCUUAGUGCCGCAGCUAACGCAUUAAGCACUCCGCCUGGGGAGUACGACCGCAAGGUUGAAACUCAAAGGAAUUGACGGGGGCCCGCACAAGCGGUGGAGCAUGUGGUUUAAUUCGAAGCAACGCGAAGAACCUUACCAGGUCUUGACAUCCCGAUGCCCGCUCUAGAGAUAGAGUUUUACUUCGGUACAUCGGUGACAGGUGGUGCAUGGUUGUCGUCAGCUCGUGUCGUGAGAUGUUGGGUUAAGUCCCGCAACGAGCGCAACCCUUAUUGUUAGUUGCCAUCAUUCAGUUGGGCACUCUAGCGAGACUGCCGGUAAUAAACCGGAGGAAGGUGGGGAUGACGUCAAAUCAUCAUGCCCCUUAUGACCUGGGCUACACACGUGCUACAAUGGCUGGUACAACGAGUCGCAAGUCGGUGACGGCAAGCUAAUCUCUUAAAGCCAGUCUCAGUUCGGAUUGUAGGCUGCAACUCGCCUACAUGAAGUCGGAAUCGCUAGUAAUCGCGGAUCAGCACGCCGCGGUGAAUACGUUCCCGGGCCUUGUACACACCGCCCGUCACACCACGAGAGUUUGUAACACCCGAAGUCGGUGAGGUANCCUUUUAGGA